This 521-nucleotide long non-coding RNA is filed under the name Mus spicilegus (steppe mouse). Its description in RNAcentral is "lncRNA (ENSMSIG00000012355.1)". Lineage: Eukaryota; Metazoa; Chordata; Mammalia; Rodentia; Muridae. The record is from RNAcentral.
UAUUUUUGAACUGCCUCUGCUCACGUCAGUGACUCCCUGUAGCAGCCUGUCCACUGGCUAUAAGAGCCUGAGCAUCCUUGGCAGAUCGUAGGCAGGGCCAGGCAAAGCCAAACUCCUGGUAAGCUUUAUCACCUUUUCUGUGUUUCAGCUUCCAUGUCACAACUAGAGUUGGAAAAUUAUCUCUACUUAUGCUGUUGUGUACAGCACCAUGUCCCAAGUACACCUCCUGCUGCUCUUGGCUGCCCUGGUACUGACCAGCCAUGUACACGGAGCCACACUGAGGAAUGAAGACACGUGGAAGCCACUGAGCAACCCCAGAAACCGAGAACUGUUUUUCAGAAGCCUCCAGGCCUACUUUAAGGGCAGAGGACUUGAUCUUGGGAACCUUCCAAAUACCUUCUUCAUGAAUGAGGACCCCAGACCUCUCUCUUUCGGGUCUGAGCAUAUUGCUUCUGCAUUUGCAGACUAUGAAGAGCAGAAAAACUCCCUCCGUAAUUCCUACAAAGGCUGAAAGCCCAGGU